RNAcentral lists this ribosomal RNA (877 nucleotides) under uncultured Macellibacteroides sp. RNAcentral describes it as "bacterial SSU rRNA". It matches the Rfam family "Bacterial small subunit ribosomal RNA", at positions 11 to 881 of the family's 1533-position model. Lineage: Bacteria; Pseudomonadati; Bacteroidota; Bacteroidia; Bacteroidales; Porphyromonadaceae. The record is from RNAcentral.
GUUUGAUCCUGGCUCAGGAUGAACGCUAGCGACAGGCUUAACACAUGCAAGUCGAGGGGCAGCAUAGAAGUAGCAAUACUUUGGUGGCGACCGGCGCACGGGUGAGUAACGCGUAUGCAACCUACCUAUCAGAGGGGAAUAACCCGGCGAAAGUCGGACUAAUACCGCAUAAAACAGGGGCACCGCAUGGUGAUAUUUGUUAAAGAAAUUCGCUGAUAGAUGGGCAUGCGUUCCAUUAGGUAGUUGGUGAGGUAACGGCUCACCAAGCCGACGAUGGAUAGGGGAACUGAGAGGUUGGUCCCCCACACUGGUACUGAGACACGGACCAGACUCCUACGGGAGGCAGCAGUGAGGAAUAUUGGUCAAUGGGUGGGAGCCUGAACCAGCCAAGUCGCGUGAAGGAAGAAGGAUCUAUGGUUCGUAAACUUCUUUUGCAGGGGAAUAAAGUGCAGGACGUGUCCUGUUUUGUAUGUACCCUGAGAAUAAGGAUCGGCUAACUCCGUGCCAGCAGCCGCGGUAAUACGGAGGAUCCGAGCGUUAUCCGGAUUUAUUGGGUUUAAAGGGUGCGUAGGUGGUUUGAUAAGUCAGCGGUGAAAGUUUGCAGCUUAACUGUAAAAAUGCCGUUGAAACUGUCGGACUUGAGUGUAAAUGAGGUAGGCGGAAUGCGUGGUGUAGCGGUGAAAUGCAUAGAUAUCACGCAGAAACUCCGAUUGCGAAGGCAGCUUACUAAGCUACAACUGACACUGAAGCACGAAAGCGUGGGGAUCAAACAGGAUUAGAUACCCUGGUAGUCCACGCAGUAAACGAUGAUUACUAGCUGUUUGCGAUACACAGUAAGCGGCACAGCGAAAGCGUUAAGUAAUCCACCUGGGGGAGU